GUCAGGUCUGUGUGUAUGCCACCUACUUCAUCCUGGAAAAUUAUUGUUGGUAACUCCUAAAAUCUCUAAUGUAGUUUUACCACUGUCUUCAUGAGACUUCCAUUCUCCAUAUGAACACUUGUUGGUUGUAGAGGCUGUAGGCAACUUUGCAGAGUUCCUUUCCAGCAGAGAUCCAGCUAAGCAGCUGCACCUUUUCUGCUAUUUACCUGUGUUGUCCAAUUUGUUGAUUAACACCUGGGAGAGAUCCGAGCUAUUUCAGCAGAAAUUUUAUAAGCCUUCUUCAACUUGGACUUACACUCCAUUAUGAAGACUACAUAGUGAAUAAUGGUAUUUGCAAA
This 338-nucleotide long non-coding RNA is filed under the name Athene cunicularia (burrowing owl). RNAcentral describes it as "lncRNA (ENSACUG00000007504.1)". Lineage: Eukaryota; Metazoa; Chordata; Aves; Strigiformes; Strigidae. The record is from RNAcentral.